This 1417-nucleotide ribosomal RNA is filed under the name Bacillus subtilis. RNAcentral's name for it is "16S ribosomal RNA". It matches the Rfam family "Bacterial small subunit ribosomal RNA". The record is from RNAcentral. Lineage: Bacteria; Bacillati; Bacillota; Bacilli; Caryophanales; Bacillaceae.
UGCAAGUCGAAGCGGACAGAUGGGAGCUUGCUCCCUGAUGUUAGCGGCGGACGGGUGAGUAACACGUGGGUAACCUGCCUGUAAGACUGGGAUAACUCCUGGAAACCGGGGCUAAUACCGGAUGCUUGUUUGAACCGCAUGGUUCAAACAUAAAAGGUGGCUUCGGCUACCACUUACAGAUGGACCCGCGGCGCAUUAGCUAGUUGGUGAGGUAAUGGCUCACCAAGGCAACGAUGCGUAGCCGACCUGAGAGGGUGAUCGGCCACACUGGGACUGAGACACGGCCCAGACUCCUACGGGAGGCAGCAGUAGGGAAUCUUCCGCAAUGGACGAAAGUCUGACGGAGCAACGCCGCGUGAGUGAUGAAGGUUUUCGGAUCGUAAAGCUCUGUUGUUAGGGAAGAACAAGUACCGUUCGAAUAGGGCGGUACCUUGUUUGUAUCUAACCAGAAAGCCACGGCUAACUACGUGCCAGCAGCCGCGGUAAUACGUAGUUUGGUUAGCGUUGUCCGGAAUUAUUGGGCGUAAAGGGCUCGCAGGCGGUUUCUUAAGUCUGAUGUGAAAGCCCCCGGCUCAACCGGGGAGGGUCAUUGGAAACUGGGGAACUUGAGUGCAGAAGAGGAGAGUGGAAUUCCACGUGUAGCGGUGAAAUGCGUAGAGAUGUGGAGGAACACCAGUGGCGAAGGCGACUCUCUGGUCUGUAACUGACGCUGAGGAGCGAAAGCGUGGGGAGCGAACAGGAUUAGAUACCCUGGUAGUCCACGCCGUAAACGAUGAGUGCUAAGUGUUAGGGGGUUUCCGCCCCUUAGUGCUGCAGCUAACGCAUUAAGCACUCCGCCUGGGGAGUACGGUCGCAAGACUGAAACUCAAAGGAAUUGACGGGGGCCCGCACAAGCGGUGUAUCAUGUGGUUUAAUUCGAAGCAACGCGAAGAACCUUACCAGGUCUUGACAUCCUCUGACAAUCCUAGAGAUAGGACGUCCCCUUCGGGGGCAGAGUGACAGGUGGUGCAUGGUUGUCGUCAGCUCGUGUCGUGAGAUGUUGGGUUAAGUCCCGCAACGAGCGCAACCCUUGAUCUUAGUUGCCAGCAUUCAGUUGGGCACUCUAAGGUGACUGCCGGUGACAAACCGGAGGAAGGUGGGGAUGACGUCAAAUCAUCAUGCCCCUUAUGACCUGGGCUACACACGUGCUACAAUGGACAGAACAAAGGGCAGCGAAACCGCGAGGUUAAGCCAAUCCCACAAAUCUGUUCUCAGUUCGGAUCGCAGUCUGCAACUCGACUGCGUGAAGCUGGAAUCGCUAGUAAUCGCGGAUCAGCAUGCCGCGGUGAAUACGUUCCCGGGCCUUGUACACACCGCCCGUCACACCACGAGAGUUUGUAACACCCGAAGUCGGUGAGGUAACCUUUAGGAGCCAGCC